GCCAGUGUGGCAUAGUAGUUUGAGUGUUUGACUAUGACUCUGGUGUCCAUGGUUCGAUUCCCAGUUUGGCC
Phrynosoma platyrhinos (Desert horned lizard) is the source of this 71-nucleotide non-coding RNA. NCBI's taxonomy places the organism in Eukaryota, Metazoa, Chordata, Lepidosauria, Squamata, Phrynosomatidae. The record is from the annotation of a GenBank genome assembly.